Molecule: ribosomal RNA, 449 nt
Filed under: uncultured organism
Description: partial 16S ribosomal RNA
Rfam family: Bacterial small subunit ribosomal RNA
Source: RNAcentral
UACACUCCUACGGGAGGCAGCAGUGGGGAAUAUUGGACAAUGGGCGCAAGCCUGAUCCAGCCAUGCCGCGUGAGUGAUGAAGGCCCUAGGGUUAUAAAGCUCUUUCACCGGUGAAGAUAAUGACGGUAACCGGAGAAGAAGCCCCGGCUAACUUCGUGCCAGCAGCCGCGGUAAUACGAAGGGGGCUAGCGUUGUUCGGAUUUACUGGGCGUAAAGCGCACGUAGGCGGACUAUUAAGUCAGGGGUGAAAUCCCGGGGCUCAACCCCGGAACUGCCUUUGAUACUGGUAGUCUUGAGUUCGAGAGAGGUGAGUGGAAUUCCGAGUGUAGAGGUGAAAUUCGUAGAUAUUCGGAGGAACACCAGUGGCGAAGGCGGCUCACUGGCUCGAUACUGACGCUGAGGUGCGAAAGCGUGGGGAGCAAACAGGAUUAGAAACCCGGGUAGUCCCA